This 971-nucleotide ribosomal RNA is filed under the name uncultured bacterium. RNAcentral's name for it is "bacterial SSU rRNA". It matches the Rfam family "Bacterial small subunit ribosomal RNA", at positions 110 to 1099 of the family's 1533-position model. The record is from RNAcentral.
GUAACAUAUAGUUAAUGUACCUUCAAGACUGGGAUAGCCACUGGAAACGGUGAUUAAUACUAGAUAUACCUUCAUAUCACAAGCUAUGAAGGGAAACGUUUUUUCGCUUGAAGAUCAGACUAUAUCCCAUCAGUUAGUUGGUAGGGUAAUGGCCUACCAAGGCAAUGACGGGUAGCGGGUUUGAGAGGACGAUCCGCCACACUGGUACUGAGACACGGACCAGACUCCUACGGGAGGCAGCAGUGAGGAAUAUUGCACAAUGGAGGAAACUCUGAUGCAGCAACGCCGCGUGGAGGAUGACGCAUUUCGGUGUGUAAACUCCUUUUAUGAGUCAAGAAAAUGACGGUAGCUCAUGAAUAAGCACCGGCUAACUCCGUGCCAGCAGCCGCGGUAAUACGGAGGGUGCAAGCGUUACUCGGAAUCACUGGGCGUAAAGGACGCGUAGGCGGGAUGCCAAGUCUGAUGUGAAAUCCUAUGGCUUAACCAUAGAACUGCAUUGGAAACUGGUAACCUAGAGUAUGGGAGGGGGAGAUGGAAUUAGUGGUGUAGGGGUAAAAUCCGUAGAUAUCACUAGGAAUACCGAAAGCGAAGGCGAUCUCCUGGAACAUAACUGACGCUAAGGCGUGAAAGCGUGGGGAGCAAACAGGAUUAGAUACCCUGGUAGUCCACGCCCUAAACGAUGAACACUAGUCGUCGUGAUGCUUGUCAUUGCGGUGAUGCACUUAACAGAUUAAGUGUUCCGCCUGGGGAGUACGGUCGCAAGAUUAAAACUCAAAGGAAUAGACGGGGACCCGCACAAGUGGUGGAGCAUGUGGUUUAAUUCGAAGAUACGCGAAGAACCUUACCUAGCCUUGACAUUGAUAGAAUACCCUAGAGAUAGAGUAGUGCCUUUCGGGGAACUUGAAACAGGUGCUGCACGGCUGUCGUCAGCUCGUGUCGUGAGAUGUUGGGUUAAGUCCCGCAACGAGCGC